This 497-nucleotide ribosomal RNA is filed under the name uncultured bacterium. RNAcentral's name for it is "partial 16S ribosomal RNA". It matches the Rfam family "Bacterial small subunit ribosomal RNA", at positions 28 to 507 of the family's 1533-position model. The record is from RNAcentral.
GAUGAACGCUGGCGGCGUGCCUAAUACAUGCAAGUCGAGCGAACAGACGAGGAGCUUGCUCCUCUGACGUUAGCGGCGGACGGGUGAGUAACACGUGGAUAACCUACCUAUAAGACUGGGAUAACUUCGGGAAACCGGAGCUAAUACCGGAUAAUAUAUUGAACCGCAUGGUUCAAUAGUGAAAGACGGUUUUGCUGUCACUUAUAGAUGGAUCCGCGCCGCAUUAGCUAGUUGGUAAGGUAACGGCUUACCAAGGCAACGAUGCGUAGCCGACCUGAGAGGGUGAUCGGCCACACUGGAACUGAGACACGGUCCAGACUCCUACGGGAGGCAGCAGUAGGGAAUCUUCCGCAAUGGGCGAAAGCCUGACGGAGCAACGCCGCGUGAGUGAUGAAGGUCUUUGGAUCGUAAAACUCUGUCAUUAGGGAAGAACAAAUGUGUAAGUAACUAUGCACGUCUUGACGGUACCUAAUCAGAAAGCCACGGCUAACUACGUG